Long non-coding RNA from Betta splendens (Siamese fighting fish), 5863 nucleotides. RefSeq lists it as uncharacterized. The transcript has 3 exons. The record is from RefSeq and is a predicted model, not a curated record. NCBI's taxonomy places the organism in Eukaryota, Metazoa, Chordata, Actinopteri, Anabantiformes, Osphronemidae.
UCAUUCCAGUAAAAGGGAACAUUCCAGCCAAAGCGGUGGCAACAGAGGCCCAGUGUUGGAAAUGCCACUUCAACAAGAGAGGCCAUUGUCCAGGUUUCCAGUAACACUUGAGCUGUUGAGAUACAGAUGGCAAUAAAAGCUGAGUGGAUAAAACUGGAUGGUGACUGAUGCAGGAUGACGUCUCUGGGCAGAGCGUGUUUCUUGGCUUCACAGUAAAUUACUGUAUUUCAACCUGGUUUAAUCUUCUUUAAACGGAGUCUAAAUUAAUUCAGGAUACGUUGCAACAAAACACAGAACAAGUCUCCAUGGUAACGAGCCUGGGCUGGACCGAUCCCUGGUGGCGAACGGUGGGACGGAUGCUGGUGGAGCUGCUCUGCAAACAGAGUGGGACACCAUCUUAAGGUCGAUAAAGGAAGGUAUCAUCAGACUCAAAGUUUGGUGUCUGUGAUGGGCAGCUGCGAGUCCAACCAUCCUGCCUGUGUCCAGUCCCUGGUUCAACCAUCCUGCCUGUGUGCAGUCUCCGGUCCAACCAUCCUGUCUGUGUCCAGUCCCUGGUCCAACCAUCCUCCCUGUGUUCAGUCUCUGGUCCAACCAUCCUGCCUGUGUUCAGUCUCUGGUCCAACCAUCCUGUCUGUGUCCAAACCCCGGUCCAACCAUCUUGUGUCCAGACCCUGGCCCAACCAUCCUGCCUGUGCUCUGUGGGUGUUUCUGUGCUUUUCUCUGACUCUAUCACCUCACCCCAACCGGUCAAGGUAGUGAGGCCACAUCCAGCCUGGUUCUGCUGGAGGUUUUUUACCUGUUAGAAUGGGAGUAAAUUUGCAAUUAUUUAUAUUUAAAAGGUGAUGGUGAAUGUAGUCAGUCGGUAUGCUCCACAAGCUGGCUGUGAGUUAGAAGAGAAGAAGAUAUUUUGGAGUGAGUUUGAUGAGGUCAUAGAGAGAAUCCCCAGAGGAGAGAGGGUAGUGGUUGGAGCAGACUUUUAAUGAGCGUGUUGGUUAGGGGAACAGAGGUGAUGAGGAGAUGAUGGGCAGGUUUGGUGUAAAGGAAAGGAACCUACUGUAGAAGGACAGAUGGCGGUGGACUUUGCUAAAAGGAUAGAAAUGGCUGUUGUCGACACUUACUUCCAGAAGAGAGAGGAUCACAGUGACAUAGAAGAGUGGAGGUGGGAGCACUCAGGUGGACUACAUCCUAUGUAGACGAGGUCAUUUGAAAGAGGUUAGUGACUGCAAAGUGGUGGUAGGAAUGAGUGUAGCUAGACAGCAUCGCAUGGUGGUGUGUAAGAUGACUUUGAUGGAAGAAGGAAGGAAGAAGAAAAGAGGAAAGACAGAAAAAAGACGAAGUGGUGGAAGCUAAAGAAUGAGUAAAUCUGUGGAGAAUUCAGGAAGAAGUUAAGACAGGCUCUGGAUGGUCAGGAAGAGCUUCCAGAUGACUGGGGGUCAGACAGGAAUCUCUCUGGACAAUGAUGUUUGAGGAUGACAUUGUGAUUUGCAGUGAGAGUAGAGAGCAAGUGGAAUAACAAAUGGAGAGGUGGAGGUUUGCUCUGGAAAUAAGAGGCAUGAAAGUCAGUGGUAGUAAGACAGAAUACAUGUGUCUAAACGAGAGGAUUUAAGAUAGAACAGUGAGGCUACAGGAGCUGAGGUGAAGAAGGUGCAGGAGUUUAAUAGUUCAGUGUGAUGGCGAGUGUGGAAAAUAGGUGAAGAGGCGAGUGCAGGCGGGUUGGAGCGGGUGGAGGAAAGUGUCAGGAGUGUCGUUUGACAGAGUGUCAGCAAGACUCAAAGAAAAGGUGUAAAGAUAGUGGUGAGAGCAGCUCUGCUCUAUGGGUUAGAGACGAAAGCAGUGAAAAAGAGACAAGAAGAAGAGACGGAGGCAGCAGAGAAGAUGAAGAUGAAGAUGCUGAGGUUGGAUAGAAUCAGGAGUGAGCUCAUCAGAGGGACGGCUCACAUUGUCUGUGUUAGCAAAACAGUCAGAGAGGCCAGACUGAGGAGGGAUAGUGAAUAUAUUGGUAGAAGGAUGUUGGCGAUGGAGCUGCCAGGCAAAGGGCAAGAGUACGACCAAGGAGAGGAUAUAUGGAUGUGCUGACAGAGGCCUUGAGGUUGGCUGCUGUAAAUGUAGAAGAUGCCCAGGACAGAAUGAGAUAGAAAAGGAUGAUUUGCUGUGGAGACCCCUGAUGGAAAAAGCUGAAAUAGAAGAAGCUUUAUAUAACAUACAAGAUGAGAUGAGAUGAGAUGAGAUGAGAUGAGAUGAGAUGAGAUGAGAUGAGAUGAGAUGAGAUGAGAUGAGAUGAGAUGAGAUGAGAUGAGAUGAGAUGAGAUGAGAUGAGAUGAGAUGAGAUGAGAUGAGAUGAGAUGAGAUGAGAUGAGAUGAGAUGAGAUGAGAUGAGAUGAGAUGAGAUGAGAUGAGAUAAGAUAAGAUAAGAUAACCUUUAAUAGUCCAGCAGUGGGGAAAUUACCUCUCACAACAGCAGGCUGGCUCCACUCCCUCUCAGUCUGGCUCCGCCCCCUCUCAGCCUAACUGUUGCUGGGGCAGGUACAGAGAAAACCAGAAGCCACUAGUUGUAGUCUGUGGGUACACGAAAAGUCGCCAGGGCAGCUGAGAAUGAUUGUUUUUACGUCAUCUUCAGCUGCCCUGGUGUCAGAUUUCGGCAAGGAUCGGACCCACAUGCACAGCGAUGACGCGGUAGACAGUGGAUAUAGUUAAGGAAGUCUUUAAUGACAGAAUCCAGGUCACAAAACGGUCCAGGUCAUUCACAGGUAGACACAGAUUAACAACACCACAGGGAUUAGGCGAAAUCGGGUCCGAGGACAGGCGUGAGUCAAUACCAGAAAGGGCUCAGAUCUCAGGAACAGAAUCAGCGGGCGUAGACAGGUCCAGAAACGAGCAGAGUUCAGUAACAGAGUGACUUACGAGAUUGGUCAGGAUCAGGCGAGAAGCAAUAGUCAAAAACGUAACAGGGUCGACAACAGGAUAAGCUGAACUAGACAAAUGCUGGAACGUGAGAACAAUGAAUCAACGAUCUGGCAAAUAACAACUGUCACAGGUGGUGCUUAAAUGUCCUAGGGAGUGAUGAUGAAUUGGGUACAGGUGCGUGAAUAAAAACCGGAAGUAAAGUUAGCGCAGGCAGAGUGAUGUGACAAACCGGAAACUGCUAAACUAAAACAGGAAGUGAAACUGGAGAUCUGACACCUGGCACCUUUAUGCAGAGGAAUAAAUUAUAGUUUUCUGCAUAGGAAUUAUGGAGGAACCUGAGUGUCCCUUUAUUCUUAAUACUACUCAACAUGUUUUUGGUCAACCCUCAUUGAAAAUUAAAGAAGUGUUCCCUUAACACAGAGCAGCGUUUUCUUCUGUUUCCAUCUGGGUCCAUGAUGUGAGAUCAUCGGAGCUUUACAUUCCAGUGAGGCUUCAGUCAAUAUCACACACAACCCAACGUCUUCUUCUUCUGUUCUCUCAUGGAAAAGGACUCAACGUCAUGUUAAUGAGCUUGAGUCGCUCUGAUGAGCGGCGUCCAAUAAAGAACAUUUGCAAACAGCUCUGAACCACUGGUUCCUUUUUAAUUGAAGGAACAGGAGAGUAAUGCAUGAAAUGAGCUGAGCACAGACGCUGAGCUCUGUACAUCCUCCAGCUCUGCUAUCCAUUCAGUUGGCAUCUAUUGCUGUCAGACUUGGAAUUCAUUCAGUCUUAAUCUUGUAUUAUUAUGCUAAUAAUACUCAAUCAAAAACAUUUCAACAGUAAAUUGAAAAUGUAGAGUGUUUUAACAGCAAACAAUUCAGCAGUGACAGCAAAUCUGGCAGCGCCGAGCUCGGGGAAACGCUUGGCACCCUGAUUCAUGUUCUGAAUACCACUGGGCCACUGCUUAAAGCACUUCUCAGCACAGACAACAUUCAGAAAUGUUGAUCCAAGUGUCACAUUCUUUGCUUCACAGUAGAGAAGUAAAGGAUAUUCAGAGAACAAAGCUAGAAGUUUGGCAGUUGGCUGGUGUUUGCAUCAGAAGCUUAGGAAUUGUUGGUUAUAACUUAAUGAGCCUGGAGGCAUGCAGGUCUGAACACACAGCAGUGGCGUUGCUGCGUUGAUUUCAAACAGUGUGUGCUAUUUUUUCUGAGGAAGCAAAUUGUACGAGCAUUUCUCUCAGAGCAGAGCCAACGUGGAUCAGACUAUUUCCACACAUCCUCCCCUCGCUGGAUGUUCAUGCGAACCUGCAACCUGAGACCACCUCGCACUCCUCCAUCACAAUCCACUGUCUCUUCUGCUACAGCUCUGCAAACACAGCCAGAGCAGGGAAGGUCACUGAUAUUAUUAGCAACAUGUUGACAUUUGGUUGCCAUGGCGAGAAACAGCUACAGCAACAGAUGAAUCAAGCGUAGUCGGGCCAAGAGGCAGCAGCAGAGGACAACGAGACUCAACGAGGUCUGACUUGGACCUGAAUUAAAAAACAAUCAGCGGAAAGGAGAUUAGAUGUAACAUCCUCUGAAAAAUCUGUUAAUAGUUAAGCUAAGCUAAGCUAAGCUAAGCUAAGAUAAGAUAAGAUAAGAUAAGAUAAGAUAAGAUAAGAUAAGAUAAGAUAAGAUAAGAUAAGAUAAGAUAAGAUAAGAUAAGAUAAGCGUUGAAGCACUUCCUGCUUGUCAGUGAUUGGUCAUCUUUAGUCCCAUUAAUAGUCCCAUUUCUCUUCCCUUCCUUUAAAUCUUCUGUUACCUCCAUUUCUGACCAUCAAAGAAGGCAAAUUAGUCCCAGUCCACAUCCCUGUCCACCCAAAGUGCCCCCCCCUACACACACACUUUCCUUUUCACAGCUCAUCAAACCCAGUCUUGUGGCUUGCAGUUUGGUUAAACAAUUAGUAAAACGCUCUUCCCCAGAUGUUCCCUUCACAUGGCUGGAGAAAGGCAUUGGUUCUGGUGAGGGCAAUGCACACUGAUACCAGCUAAUUAAAGAAACUCCUCAGAUUCCAUGGUUUGUGUUGUUUUUUUUCUCCCCGGCUGGCUGAGGCAAAGCCAUGUGACCCAGAAAAUGAAUGAAGCAAGUGACCCAUGAAAGACCACAGGAAAUAGAGUGUGAGGGAGGGAGAUAGAUGAGAUGGCAACACAGGAGCAGAGAGAGAUAUGAGCGUCAGGACGGGAAAUUGAAGAAGGGAAUGAGCAAGAAAAGCAGAGAAUUAGAAAUAAUGUCAGGUCGGGGCAUUGGGCGGAGAUUUGAAGGCACGGAUCAGAAAUCUCUCCGAAACAAGUGAUUGGUUUGUUCAAGGCUUUAUACGCGGCUGGUGUGACGAGACUCACUCACCAACAGCAGCUGGAGGCGUGUGACAGACAGAAGCAAAGAAGUAAAACUGUGUGUUUUCAACAUGUGCCAUCAACGAAAUUAACAUUUGUGACUGAGGCUUGAGGAACAGGAAGUGACCUUUCAAAGCAAAAGACAUAGUGGACCCAGUUUGUACAAUAAUUCAACUUCUGUGAGGAAAUGUUGAUUUUAGGUGUCAUAAACCAAAUAAGCGAUGUCAUGAUGGCUUUUAAGAAGGUUUGCUGUAUUUGCUGUGUUGUCCUGUGUGGUUUUGACACAUGAGCUGUGCUCAGUGCACCAAAGCGCUACAAGCUCUGUAAAAAUGCUGUUAUUGAGGCUGUGUAAAAUAAAAAGCUGCGUGUCUGCUCUGAUUUGACAUAACUGGCCUCCUGGCCCAACACUUUGCCUCCAGCCACACAUCAGCAUGCGUAAUGAGGAGCUGAGGGUGAGAGCCAGGGAAGCACCGGGUCACUUCUACUUUACUGCCCUUAUGCUUUGUCCAUCUGACAAAUGCUCACUUGAGGGAUACGUGUGCAGACACUUCCAUUACGCUGGUGAGAGCUUUUAACAGCCACAGUUUGAUUCCAUAACUCUGACUUUA